Molecule: long non-coding RNA, 1874 nt
Organism: Oreochromis aureus
Lineage: Eukaryota; Metazoa; Chordata; Actinopteri; Cichliformes; Cichlidae
Source: Ensembl
CAGACGGCUGUCGGCCUGGUGAGUGAGAGUUCAACCUCCAAACUGAACCCAGUGUGUUACUCACAGAAUCACAGAUUUACUCACAUUUACUGAUUGUUCUGUAGGGUCUUUACAAUUUUCAGCCCCUUCAGGUGACUGUUGUCUUCUGACUCCAUCUUUAGGGUUUAGUUAGAUUAAAUAUUUAACCAUUUAAUUCAAGAAUGAAAGACACAUUUAUCACAAAGGCACUCUUAUAAUGUAGAUUAAAUGUGUGUUGACAUAACAUCUAGAUGUAUGAUUAGAAAGAGAGAAAUGCUGUAAUGACAUGAGCAAAGUGCAGUAUUCCAAGAUGGCAUCAGAGUUUUAACACCUUUUAUACUCAUGUUUUUUUUAAUUAUGUUAAGUGUAAAACAUCAAAGAUAAUGACAUUGAUUCAUCUGUUUAUGUUAUUAUCACAAUAAUAACAACAUAAAAUUAUUAUGGUGACAUUUUUUCUGUGCUGUAUUAAGGUUACCAGAGUCAGCUGGGGAUUCAUGAACAUCAUCAGUGAUGUUUCUCCACAGCGGGCUCAUCAGUACCUGGUGACAAAAGGUCAAUCCAGCUCUGACUUGAGGCUGUUCAAGAAUCUGCGCCACUUGAUCUGGUUCCACCUCUACCACAGGCAGAGAAACACAGGCCUGGACUCUUUGUUGGCCAGACAAAAUCAGGAACGAAAUCAUUGGUUUUCACAACUGGGUCCAGUUCCACCUGCAAAGGAUAUAAGGCCAGGGAGCAUGAUUUGGUAAGUAUAACAUUUCACCAGACAGAAGAGUUUCAUUUCCUUUGAUUUCAGUAUUCUCAGCCGGUCGGCCUCAUGUGUGCCUGAUCACAAGUCGGUCCACUUCAUACAUGCACAGUAGCGCAGGCAAAUAGUUGCUCACACGCUCACUGUGGCCAUUAUUGAGCUCGCGUUUGGUGGAGACGAGUUGGGCUUCGAUUCAGAUUCACAAGGUCCCGAAUCGAUCGAUUCGAUCAGUGAGAGGAUGGACAGACUUUCACUUCUUGAAAGAUCAGAUCCAAAAUCAGUUAUGCAUUAAGAAAUGUAUUUAUUUGAAUAUUUUGUGACAUUGUUAUAUGUGUUGCAUUAGUUUAAAAGUUUUUUUGUUAUUAAUAAAUUGACUACAACAAACACUAACUGUCACUGAACUCAUUUUAUUUUCAGGUAUUUUUAACAUGUAUGAACAUAAUGCUAACUUUGGACAAUUUUACAUGGAUAUUUAUUUGAUGGCAAUAAAGUAAAUAACAACAACAAUUGAACAAGAAUAUUUCUAAUAAGCCAACAAUAUUUAAAGAAGGAAAAACAAUAUCAGUUGUUUAUACAGGAUCAACCUGAGUGACCUGUUCCUGGACCGUUUUUUUUUUAACAACUGUAAUAGAUUACAGGAAGUCUCUGGCUGUGUUGCUGAAUCUGCCGGUGCAAGAUCAGACAUGGAUGGAUGAGGUGCUGCAACUGAGACCUGCCGUUUGUCUUUUCUGGUCGGCGAGUGGAGAAUCACACACAGUGGUCUGCAAAGAGAGCUUCAGGAUGCUUCCUCCCACUGUCCACUGCAUCGUCCAUCCACAGGGUUUGCAGGGCUGGCUCAAUCCAUGGCCACCACACCACUAACAUGUUUUCAGAAAUAUGCAAGCAGGAGAUAGUGGAUGGUAUAUUACUACUAGUACAAUACUUUUAACUUUGUAGCAGACAACACUUUGAUAAAAUGCUAUGAAAAAAAGAAACCAACAGAUUAGAUUCUAAAAGUUUCAAAGAGAUUUAAUUUACAUAUUUUAUAUAAUAAAGUAAAUGUACGAAUGACCGGCAAUAAUUCAGUCACUGAAAUUAUCCAUGAAAUUAGCUAAUUAAUUCCUAAAAGUGU